AAAACAUCUUUUCUUGAUAAUUAUUUGAAAUUUGACCUGCCCAAUGAUUGUUUUAAUGGCCGCGGUAUAUUGACCGUGCAAAGGUAGCAUAAUCAUUAGUCUUUUAAUUGAGGGCUUGUAUGAAUGGUUGGACGAAAUAUUAACUGUCUUUUAAAUAAUAUUAUAAUUUUAAUUUUUAGUUAAAAUGCUAAAAUUUUUUUAUGGGACGAGAAGACCCUAUAGAUCUUUAUUAUUUUAUGUUUUUAUUAAUUUUGGUUUUAUGUUUUAUUAAUUUGUUUGAUUAUUUUGUUGGGGUGACAUGGGGAUAUAUAUAACUCUUUAUUAUUAUUUACAUUUAUUUAUGUUUAAUUGACCUUUUAUUAUUGUUAUAAGAUUUAGAUACCUUAGGGAUAACAGCGUAAUUUUAUUUGAGAGUUCAUAUCGACAAUGAAGAUUGCGACCUCG
RNAcentral lists this ribosomal RNA (444 nucleotides) under Dares validispinus. RNAcentral describes it as "partial 16S ribosomal RNA". The record is from RNAcentral. Lineage: Eukaryota; Metazoa; Arthropoda; Insecta; Phasmatodea; Heteropterygidae.